Molecule: ribosomal RNA, 549 nt
Filed under: uncultured Glomus
Lineage: Eukaryota; Fungi; Glomeromycota; Glomeromycetes; Glomerales; Glomeraceae
Description: SSU rRNA
Rfam family: Eukaryotic small subunit ribosomal RNA
Source: RNAcentral
UUGGAGGGCAAGUCUGGUGCCAGCAGCCGCGGUAAUUCCAGCUCCAAUAGCGUAUAUUAAAGUUGUUGCAGUUAAAAAGCUCGUAGUUGAAUUUCGGGGUUAGUAGGUUGGUCAUGCCUCUGGUAUGUACUGGUCUCACUGAUUCCUCCUUCCUGAUGAACCGUAAUGCCAUUAAUUUGGUGUUGCGGGGAAUUUGGACUGUUACUUUGAAAAAAUUAGAGUGUUUAAAGCAAGCUAACGCUUGAAUACAUUAGCAUGGAAUAAUGAAAUAGGACGUUCGAUCCUAUUUUGUUGGUUUCUAGGAUUGACGUAAUGAUUAAUAGGGAUAGUUGGGGGCAUUAGUAUUCAAUUGUCAGAGGUGAAAUUCUUGGAUUUAUUGAAGACUAACUACUGCGAAAGCAUUUGCCAAGGAUGUUUUCAUUAAUCAAGAACGAAAGUUAGGGGAUCGGAGACGAUCAGAUACCGUCGUAGUCUUAACCAUAAACUAUGCCGACUAGGGAUCGGAUGAUGUUAAUUUUUUAAUGACUCAUUCGGCACCUUACGGGAAAC